This 124-nucleotide small RNA is filed under the name uncultured Buttiauxella sp. RNAcentral describes it as "Leucine operon leader". It matches the Rfam family "Leucine operon leader", at positions 19 to 148 of the family's 148-position model. From Rfam's summary of the family: At least 6 amino acid operons are known to be regulated by attenuation. In each a leader sequence of 150-200 bp is found upstream of the first gene in the operon. This leader sequence can assume two different secondary structures known as the terminator and the anti-terminator structure. The record is from RNAcentral. Lineage: Bacteria; Pseudomonadati; Pseudomonadota; Gammaproteobacteria; Enterobacterales; Enterobacteriaceae.
CACUUAUCGCCUACUCGUUCUACUACUAAACGCAUCUUAUUUGCGCGGUAGACUGGUGGGCGACAUCAAGCGUUGAUUCAAGCCAUCAGACUGAAAAAACCCGCGCCGCUGCGCGGGUUUUUUU